Molecule: long non-coding RNA, 473 nt
Organism: Anguilla anguilla (European eel)
Lineage: Eukaryota; Metazoa; Chordata; Actinopteri; Anguilliformes; Anguillidae
Exons: 3
Source: RefSeq, a predicted model, not a curated record
UAUUCUCCACAAUCAAGUUUUCCGGUUGUAGCUUAGCAAAACAGCGAAGAGGAUUCCCACCUGCAGAUAAGCCUAUGAAAAUGGCUUAUAAACCUUAGGAAGACUGAAAGUGCAUCUCCAGGAAAUAACAGACAACGGAGCAGGACAACAGGCUACAGAAAUUGCGACCUAGGAAGCUUUAAUUCUACGGGCUUGCUGAUUGUUUUCUCUAUCAAGGCUCGUUGGAUGGCCGGCAAAUCCAAUGGAUAAAAUCAGGUAAGUAUGGACCAGAUCAGAAGACAACAGAUUCGACUCGCGAGAGAGAGGCGGUUUGCACAUCAAGAAUGAAGCACACGGAAGCAGGAUCUAUAUUUCAAAGGUCGAUCACAUGGGUGGCUCGCCAGUCCGCGCGCCGCUGUAGCUCUCCAGGGAAGGCAAGCAGGGCGGACGAAUCCAGGAUCCAGCACAGCAGUUCAAAUCCAACAACAAAAAAA